RNAcentral lists this ribosomal RNA (465 nucleotides) under Vreelandella stevensii. Its description in RNAcentral is "partial 16S ribosomal RNA". It matches the Rfam family "Bacterial small subunit ribosomal RNA", at positions 338 to 795 of the family's 1533-position model. The record is from RNAcentral. Lineage: Bacteria; Pseudomonadati; Pseudomonadota; Gammaproteobacteria; Oceanospirillales; Halomonadaceae.
CCUACGGGAGGCAGCAGUGGGGAAUAUUGGACAAUGGGGGCAACCCUGAUCCAGCCAUGCCGCGUGUGUGAAGAAGGCCCUCGGGUUGUAAAGCACUUUCAGUGAGGAAGAACGCCUGGUGGUUAAUACCCAUCAGGAAAGACAUCACUCACAGAAGAAGCACCGGCUAACUCCGUGCCAGCAGCCGCGGUAAUACGGAGGGUGCGAGCGUUAAUCGGAAUUACUGGGCGUAAAGCGCGCGUAGGUGGCUUGAUAAGCCGGUUGUGAAAGCCCCGGGCUCAACCUGGGAACGGCAUCCGGAACUGUCAAUCUAGAGUGCAGGAGAGGAAGGUAGAAUUCCCGGUGUAGCGGUGAAAUGCGUAGAGAUCGGGAGGAAUACCAGUGGCGAAGGCGGCCUUCUGGACUGACACUGACACUGAGGUGCGAAAGCGUGGGUAGCAAACAGGAUUAGAUACCCUUGUAGUC